GGGCAUGAAAGGAAUUUGACUGGCAGAUUUGUCACCCUGUUGAUUGGCAGGAUGGAUUUGGCUGAUCUUACAGGUUAGGCAGGUGUCCCCUUCUCUCACCACUCGCAUCAUUCCAGAGCUUCAUGUUUGGUGGAAGAGGAUAGCCUUCCCUGAGAGACAGACACUUCCUCAGUGUAUGAAUAGCUGUCCUCCCUGCUAGACCUUCCAAGGAUUCUCAAGAAGCUCUUUCCUUCCCCUUUCACUCGGCUGCUUGACUACCUUUCUCAGUGGCUGAUCAGCUGGUCAUGGGAAGAUCAUGUAUUUUUUUUCCUACAGAG
RNAcentral lists this small nuclear RNA (317 nucleotides) under Meriones unguiculatus (Mongolian gerbil). Its description in RNAcentral is "7SK RNA (ENSMUGG00000022731.1)". It matches the Rfam family "7SK RNA", at positions 1 to 255 of the family's 331-position model. Rfam says of the family: 7SK was discovered as an abundant small nuclear RNA in the mid-70s but a possible function has only recently been suggested. Two independent studies have found that 7SK RNA binds the CDK9/cyclin T complex (known as elongation factor P-TEFb). The record is from RNAcentral. Lineage: Eukaryota; Metazoa; Chordata; Mammalia; Rodentia; Muridae.